RNAcentral lists this transfer RNA (71 nucleotides) under human gut metagenome. It matches the Rfam family "tRNA". Rfam says of the family: Transfer RNA (tRNA) molecules are approximately 80 nucleotides in length. RNAcentral also lists the same sequence under 1 other name. The record is from RNAcentral.
ACCUUUAGCUCAGUUGGUUAGAGCAACCGGCUCAUAACCGGUCGGUCGUAGGUUCGAGUCCUACAAGGUCC